CUUAUAAAGAGUAGUGGAGGGACUGGCCCAGUGAUACUACAGCAACCUAUUAGAUUAGGUGCUAAAGCCGCAUGAUAAGGAGCUG
Molecule: non-coding RNA, 85 nt
Filed under: chicken gut metagenome
Description: SAM riboswitch (S box leader)
Rfam family: SAM riboswitch aptamer (S box leader)
About the family: The SAM riboswitch is found upstream of a number of genes which code for proteins involved in methionine or cysteine biosynthesis in Gram-positive bacteria. The SAM riboswitch acts at the level of transcription termination control.
Source: RNAcentral